This 518-nucleotide ribosomal RNA is filed under the name uncultured microorganism. RNAcentral describes it as "bacterial SSU rRNA". It matches the Rfam family "Bacterial small subunit ribosomal RNA", at positions 9 to 510 of the family's 1533-position model. The record is from RNAcentral.
GAGUUUGAUCGUGGCUCAGGAUGAACGCUGGCGGCGUGCCUAAUACAUGCAAGUCGAGCGAACGGACGAGAAGCUUGCUUCUCUGAUGUUAGCGGCGGACGGGUGAGUAACACGUGGAUAACCUACCUAUAAGACUGGGAUAACUUCGGGAAACCGGAGCUAAUACCGGAUAAUAUUUUGAACCGCAUGGUUCAAAAGUAAAGACGGUCUUGCUGUCACUUAUAGAUGGAUCCGCGCUGCAUUAGCUAGUUGGUAAGGUAACGGCUUACCAAGGCAACGAUGCAUAGCCGACCUGAGAGGGUGAUCGGCCACACUGGAACUGAGACACGGUCCAGACUCCUACGGGAGGCAGCAGUAGGGAAUCUUCCGCAAUGGGCGAAAGCCUGACGGAGCAACGCCGCGUGAGUGAUGAAGGUCUUCGGAUCGUAAAACUCUGUUAUUAGGGAAGAACAUAUGUGUAAGUAACUGUGCACAUCUUGACGGUACCUAAUCAGAAAGCCACGGCUAACUACGUGCCG